This 491-nucleotide ribosomal RNA is filed under the name uncultured Methanolinea sp. RNAcentral describes it as "bacterial SSU rRNA". It matches the Rfam family "Archaeal small subunit ribosomal RNA", at positions 865 to 1338 of the family's 1478-position model. The record is from RNAcentral. Lineage: Archaea; Methanobacteriati; Methanobacteriota; Methanomicrobia; Methanomicrobiales; Methanoregulaceae.
AACGAAAGGAAAGUUUGACGGGGGAGCGACCACGAACGGUGGAGCCUGCGGUUUAAUUGGACUCAACGCCGGGCAGCUCACCGGAUAAGACAGCUGGAUGAUAGCCGGGCUGAAGACUCUGCUUGACUAGCUGAGAGGUGGUGCAUGGCCGUCGUCAGUUCGUACUGUGAAGCAUCCUGUUAAGUCAGGCAACGAGCGAGACCCCACGCCCACAGUUGCCAGCGUACUCUCUGGAGUGACGGGGUACACUGUGGGGACCGCCGCUGCUAAAGCGGAGGAAGGAAUGGGCAACGGUAGGUCAGUAUGCCCCGAAUAUCCCGGGCUACACGCGAGCUACAAUGGUUGGUACAAUGGGUAUCUACCCCGAAAGGGGACGGGAAUCUCCUAAAACCAAUCUUAGUUCGGAUUGAGGGCUGCAACUCGCCCUCAUGAAGCUGGAAUCCGUAGUAAUCGCGUUUCAACAGAACGCGGUGAAUACGUCCCUGCUCCUU